Molecule: ribosomal RNA, 889 nt
Filed under: Micrococcus luteus
Lineage: Bacteria; Bacillati; Actinomycetota; Actinomycetes; Micrococcales; Micrococcaceae
Description: bacterial SSU rRNA
Rfam family: Bacterial small subunit ribosomal RNA
Source: RNAcentral
GCACGCAAGCCUCUGCACGAACGCCUGUGAGGGAUGACGCUUCGGCUUGUAACCUAUUUCCGUACGCAAGAAGGGGAAAGUGACGUACCUGCCAGAACGAAUGCACCCGGCCUAACUAAGUGCCAGCAGCCGCGUAAUACGUAGGUUGCGAAGCGUCCUCUGUACUAUUGGGUCGUAAAGAAGUCGUAGCUGUUUGUCCCGUCCGUCCUGAAAGUACCGGGGCUCAACUCCGAUUGCGUUGGUACGGGCAGACUAGAGUGCAGUAGGGGAGACGGAAAUUCAUGGUGUAGCGGUGGAAUGCGCAGAUAUCAGGAGGAACACCGAUGGGGAAAGGCAGGUCUGUGGGCUGUAACUGACGUUGAGGAGCGAAAGCAUGGGGAGCGAACAGGAUUAGAUACCCUGGUAGUCCAUGCCCGUAAACGUUGGGCACUAGGUGUGGGGAGCAUUCCACGGUUUGCGCGCCGCAGCUAACGCAUUAAGUGCCCCGCCUGGGGAGUACGGCCGCAAGGCUAAAACUCAAAGGAAUUGAUGGGGGCCCGCACAAGCGGCGGAGCAUGCGGAUUAAUUCGAUGCAACGCGAAGAACCUAACCAAGGCUUGACAUGUUCUCGAUCGCCGUAGAGAUACGGUUUCCCCUUUGGGGCGGGUUCACAGGUGGUGCAUGGUUGUCGUCAGCUCGUGUCGUGAGAUGUUGGGUUAAGUCCCGCAACGAGCGCAACCCUCCUUCCAUGUUGCCAGCACGUCGUGGUGGGGACUCAUGGGAGACUGCCGGGGUCAACUCGGAGGAAGGUGAGGAGACGUCAAAUCAUCAUGCCCCUUCAUGUCUUGGGCUUUCGACGCAUGCUACCAAUGGCCUGGUCCCAAUGGGAUUGCGGGGAUUCCCCUUGUCG